GUCCACGCCGUAAACUAUGGAUGCUAGCCGUCAGGUAGCUUGCUACUUGGUGGCGCAGCUAACGCAUUAAGCAUCCCGCCUGGGGAGUACGGCCGCAAGGUUAAAACUCAAAGGAAUUGACGGGGGCCCGCACAAGCGGUGGAGCAUGUGGUUUAAUUCGACGCAACGCGAAGAACCUUACCAGCUCUUGACAUUUACUGAUCGUUUCCAGAGAUGGAUUCAUCCCAGCAAUGGGGCAGUAGGACAGGUGCUGCAUGGCUGUCGU
RNAcentral lists this ribosomal RNA (265 nucleotides) under uncultured bacterium. Its description in RNAcentral is "partial 16S ribosomal RNA". It matches the Rfam family "Bacterial small subunit ribosomal RNA", at positions 793 to 1055 of the family's 1533-position model. The record is from RNAcentral.